RNAcentral lists this ribosomal RNA (253 nucleotides) under uncultured bacterium. RNAcentral describes it as "partial 16S ribosomal RNA". It matches the Rfam family "Bacterial small subunit ribosomal RNA", at positions 524 to 776 of the family's 1533-position model. The record is from RNAcentral.
UACGUAGGGUGCAAGCGUUGUCCGGAAUCAUUGGGCGUAAAGAGCGCGUAGGCGGUCCGGUAAGUCCGCUCUGAAAGCCCGGGGCUCAACCCCGGGAGGCGGGUGGAUACUGGUCAGCUCGAGUCCGGAAGAGGAGUGUGGAAUUCCUGGUGUAGCGGUGAAAUGCGCAGAUAUCAGGAGGAACACCAAUGGCGAAGGCAGCACUCUGGGACGGUACUGACGCUGAGACGCGAAAGCGUGGGGAGCAAACAGG